AGAAUCAACGCUGGCGGCGUGCCUAACACAUGCAAGUCGAACGCGAAAGUCCCGCAAGGGAUAAGUAGAGUGGCAAACGGGUGAGUAACACGUGGGUGACCUGCCUUCGAGUGGGGGAUAACGUCCCGAAAGGGUCGCUAAUACCGCAUGACAUCCUGCUUUUUAAGAGGCGGAGAUCAAAGCUGGGGAUCGCAAGACCUGGCGCUUGAAGAGGGGCCCGCGCCUGAUUAGCUAGUUGGUGGGGUAAUGGCUCACCAAGGCAUCGAUCAGUA
Molecule: ribosomal RNA, 272 nt
Filed under: uncultured bacterium
Lineage: Bacteria
Description: partial small subunit ribosomal RNA
Rfam family: Bacterial small subunit ribosomal RNA
Source: RNAcentral